GUGCCCGUAGCUCAGCUGAAUAGAGCGUUUCCCUCCGAAGGAAAAGGUCAUGGGUUUGAAUCCCAUCGGGCAUA
RNAcentral lists this transfer RNA (74 nucleotides) under bacterium. RNAcentral's name for it is "tRNA-Arg". It matches the Rfam family "tRNA". From Rfam's summary of the family: Transfer RNA (tRNA) molecules are approximately 80 nucleotides in length. Their secondary structure includes four short double-helical elements and three loops (D, anti-codon, and T loops). Further hydrogen bonds mediate the characteristic L-shaped molecular structure. tRNAs have two regions of fundamental functional importance: the anti-codon, which is responsible for specific mRNA codon recognition, and the 3' end, to which the tRNAs corresponding amino acid is attached (by aminoacyl-tRNA synthetases). tRNAs cope with the degeneracy of the genetic code in two manners: having more than one tRNA (with a specific anti-codon) for a particular amino acid; and 'wobble' base-pairing, i.e. permitting non-standard base-pairing at the 3rd anti-codon position. The record is from RNAcentral.